This 492-nucleotide ribosomal RNA is filed under the name uncultured bacterium. RNAcentral describes it as "partial 16S ribosomal RNA". It matches the Rfam family "Bacterial small subunit ribosomal RNA", at positions 29 to 507 of the family's 1533-position model. The record is from RNAcentral.
AGUGAACGCUGGCGGUAGGCCUAACACAUGCAAGUCGAACGGCAGCACAGUAAGAGCUUGCUCUUACGGGUGGCGAGUGGCGGACGGGUGAGGAAUACAUCGGAAUCUACUUUUUCGUGGGGGAUAACGUAGGGAAACUUACGCUAAUACCGCAUACGACCUACGGGUGAAAGCAGGGGAUCUUCGGACCUUGCGCGAUUGAAUGAGCCGAUGUCGGAUUAGCUAGUUGGCGGGGUAAAGGCCCACCAAGGCGACGCUCCGUAGCUGGUCUGAGAGGAUGAACAGCCACACUGGAACUGAGACACGGUCCAGACUCCUACGGGAGGCAGCAGUGGGGAAUAUUGGACAAUGGGCGCAAGCCUGAUCCAGCCAUACCGCGUGGGUGAAGAAGGCCUUCGGGUUGUAAAGCCCUUUUGUUGGGAAAGAAAAGCAGCAGGUUAAUACCCCGCUGUUCUGACGGUACCCAAAGAAUAAGCACCGGCUAACUUCGUG